AGCUCCAAUAGCGUAUAUUAAUGUUGUUGCAGUUAAAAAGCUCGUAGUUGGAUUUCUGACAGGAGCGACCGGUCCGAACAUUCGUGUUCGUGUUACUUGUGUUGUCUCUAGUCAUCCUUAUAGAGAAUAAAUAUUGGCAUUAAUUUGUUGUGUUUAGGACCUAUAUCGUUUACUGUGAAAAAAUUAGAGUGUUCAAAGCAGGCAAUCGCUGUGAAUAUAUUAGCAUGGAAUAAUAAGAUAGGACUCUGGUACUAUUUUGUUGGUUUGCAUACCAAAGUAAUGAUUAAGAGGGACAGUUGGGGGUAUUCGUAUUUAUAUGUCAGAGGUGAAAUUCUUGGAUUUUAGAAAGACGAACUACUGCGAAAGCAUUUACCAAGGAUGUUUUCAUUAAUCAAGAACG
RNAcentral lists this ribosomal RNA (400 nucleotides) under phytoplankton environmental sample. RNAcentral describes it as "partial small subunit ribosomal RNA". It matches the Rfam family "Eukaryotic small subunit ribosomal RNA", at positions 587 to 985 of the family's 1831-position model. The record is from RNAcentral.